UGAUGUGCUGGCACUACAGGAUUGGCUCGGGAAAAGGGUUGUGUUUCGUAAGAGUUAGAAAAAUCAUUCACUUUCGCGAGCAAAUGAAAAAAAAAACACGAGACGCAAUAAGAAAGGGGAUACAAGAGGCGAUAAGAGAGCGUCUUUGUUGAAGGUUGUGAAAUGGAGGAAGAACUGCGAGAUAUGAAGGCACGCAAAGCACACUACGACAUGCUCCAUUUCGUUGCAGAUGCGCAACAAGGGAUUCCCAAAUUGUGCCCCUGUGGAUCAAUCACGAAGGAAUCCGUAGAUGAAGAGGAUACAUAUGACUACCUCCCAGGGAAAAGAUACUUCAUCUGCAAAGACUUCGAGGUUUGAAGUGUUAUGUCUCUUGCUGUUUGAUCAAAUGCUGUUUGAAAUAUAUUUUUUUUGGAUCCAUUGCUGUUUGACAAAGUUUAUUCUUCUUUGGCAGAAUGACGGGAUGCAUUUUAGGCAGCCAUGGGUUAUGGGUGUGCAACAAGAGGUGGAGAGGCUCAAAAUAAGGGUUCACGAGCAUGAGAAGCUUCUCAGAGAAUGCGACGAACUAAAGGCCCAGGUGAGGAUGUUGCUUAGGCGUGUGUCUGACCUUGAGAGAGUCCUCUGAGGUUAGUGUUUAAAGUUACAUGUCUUCUUUAACUCUCUAGUUUAAAAUUAGCAGUUAGAAUUGAAACGGAUAGGACUAUCGGUAACUUUGUAGUUUGAAAACGGAUUUGAUUCCUAUGCUUUGAAAACAUUUACUUUGCAGUUUAUACUUUCCAACUUGGUAGUUAUAAAUGCACACUAAACCACCAUUAAAUUUACCGUAACUGCAUCUUGCAAAGUAAAAUUGC
This is a long non-coding RNA of Brassica oleracea var. oleracea, 848 nucleotides long. RefSeq lists it as uncharacterized. The record is from RefSeq and is a predicted model, not a curated record. The transcript has 3 exons. NCBI's taxonomy places the organism in Eukaryota, Viridiplantae, Streptophyta, Magnoliopsida, Brassicales, Brassicaceae.